GACGAACGCUGGCGGCGUGCUUAACACAUGCAAGUCGAACGAUGAAGCCGGAGCUUGCUCCGGUGGAUUAGUGGCGAACGGGUGAGUAACACGUGAGCAAUCUGCCCUUGACUCUGGGAUAACUGCGGGAAACUGUAGCUAAUACCGGAUACGACACCUUGGGGCAUCCCAGGGUGUGGAAAGAAUUUCGGUCAAGGAUGAGCUCGCGGCCUAUCAGCUAGUUGGUGAGGUAAUGGCUCACCAAGGCGAAGAGGGGUAGCCGGCCUGAGAGGGUGACCGGCCACACUGGAACUGGGACACGGUGCAGACUACUACGGGAGGCAACAGUGGGGAAUAUUGCACAAUGGGCGAAAGCCUGAUGCAGCAACGCCGCGUGAGGGAUGAAGGCCUUCGGGUUGUAAACCUCUUUUAGCAGGGAAGAAGCGAAAGUGACGGUACCUGCAGAAAAAGCACCGGCUAACUACGUGCCAGCAGCCGCCGUAA
This 483-nucleotide ribosomal RNA is filed under the name uncultured bacterium. Its description in RNAcentral is "partial 16S ribosomal RNA". It matches the Rfam family "Bacterial small subunit ribosomal RNA", at positions 28 to 523 of the family's 1533-position model. The record is from RNAcentral.